Molecule: unclassified non-coding RNA, 378 nt
Filed under: plant metagenome
Description: partial contains 5.8S ribosomal RNA, internal transcribed spacer 2, and large subunit ribosomal RNA
Rfam family: 5.8S ribosomal RNA (bases 1-105)
Source: RNAcentral
GAAAUGCGAUAAGUAAUGUGAAUUGCAGAAUUCAGUGAAUCAUCGAAUCUUUGAACGCACCUUGCGCUCCUUGGUAUUCCUUGGAGCAUGCCAGUUUGAGUAUCAUGAAAUCUUCAAAGUAAAUCUUUUGUUAACUCAAUUGGCUUCUACUUUGGUAUUGGAGGUCUUUGCAGCUUCACACCUGCUCCUCUUUGUUCAUUAGCUGGAUCUCAGUGUUAUGCUUGGUUCCACUCGGCGUGAUAAGUUAUCUAUCGCUGAGGACACUGUAAAAGGUGGCCAAGGUAAAUGCAGAUGAACCGCUUCUAAUAGUCCAUUGACUUGGACAAUACUUUUAUGAUCUGAUCUCAAAUCAGGUAGGACUACCCGCUGAACUUAAGC